UACGUAGGGGGCAAGCGUUGUCCGGAAUCAUUGGGCGUAAAGCGCGUGUAGGCGGCUCGGUAAGUCUGCUGUGAAAGUCCAGGGCUCAACCCUGGGAUGCCGGUGGAUACUGUCGGGCUAGAGUCCGGAAGAGGCGAGUGGAAUUCCCGGUGUAGCGGUGAAAUGCGCAGAUAUCGGGAGGAACACCAAUGGCGAAGGCAGCUCGCUGGGACGGUACUGACGCUGAGACGCGAAAGCGUGGGGAGCAAACAGG
Molecule: ribosomal RNA, 253 nt
Filed under: uncultured bacterium
Lineage: Bacteria
Description: partial 16S ribosomal RNA
Rfam family: Bacterial small subunit ribosomal RNA
Source: RNAcentral